This 253-nucleotide ribosomal RNA is filed under the name uncultured bacterium. RNAcentral describes it as "partial 16S ribosomal RNA". It matches the Rfam family "Bacterial small subunit ribosomal RNA", at positions 524 to 776 of the family's 1533-position model. The record is from RNAcentral.
UACGGGGGGGGCAAGCGUUGUUCGGAAUUACUGGGCGUAAAGGGUUCGUAGGUGGCUCGCUAAGUCAGACGUGAAAUCCCUCAGCUUAACUGGGGAACUGCGUCUGAGACUGGCAAGCUCGAGUGCAGGAGAGGAACGCGGAAUUCCAGGUGUAGCGGUGAAAUGCGUAGAUAUCGGGAGGAACACCUGUGGCGAAAGCGGCGCACUGGACCACAUCUGACGCUGAGGCGCGAAAGCUAGGGGAGCAAACAGG